RNAcentral lists this ribosomal RNA (491 nucleotides) under uncultured bacterium. RNAcentral describes it as "partial 16S ribosomal RNA". It matches the Rfam family "Bacterial small subunit ribosomal RNA", at positions 29 to 507 of the family's 1533-position model. The record is from RNAcentral.
AGUGAACGCUGGCGGUAGGCCUAACACAUGCAAGUCGAACGGCAGCACAGUAAGAGCUUGCUCUUACGGGUGGCGAGUGGCGGACGGGUGAGGAAUACAUCGGAAUCUACUUUUUCGUGGGGGAUAACGUAGGGGAACUUACGCUAAUACCGCAUACGACCUACGGGUGAAACCGGGGGUCUUCGGACCUUGCGCGAUUUGAUUAGCCGAUGUCGGAUUAGCUAGGUGGCGGGGUAAAGGCCCACCAAGGCGACGAUCCGUAGCUGGUCUGAGAGGAUGAUCAGCCACACUGGAACUGAGACACGGUCCAGACUCCUACGGGAGGCAGCAGUGGGGAAUAUUGGACAAUGGGCGCAAGCCUGAUCCAGCCAUACCGCGUGGGUGAAGAAGGCCUUCGGGUUGUAAAGCCCUUUUGUUGGGAAAGAAAAGCAGCAGGUUAAUACCCCGCUGUUCUGACGGUACCCAAAGAAUAAGCACCGGCUAACUUCGUG